This 124-nucleotide transfer RNA is filed under the name Nanobdellota archaeon. Its description in RNAcentral is "tRNA-Gly". RNAcentral also lists the same sequence under 1 other name. The record is from RNAcentral. Lineage: Archaea; Nanobdellati; Nanobdellota.
ACGGCUUUGGUAUAGUGGCUAGCAUUCGAGGUUCCCAACCUCGCGACCCGGGUUCAAACGCUCAAAAAUCGAAGAUUUUUGGCGUGCCAAAAACAACAAGUUUUUGAGCAUCCCGGCAACCGUA